Molecule: long non-coding RNA, 1226 nt
Filed under: Heterocephalus glaber (naked mole-rat)
Lineage: Eukaryota; Metazoa; Chordata; Mammalia; Rodentia; Bathyergidae
Description: lncRNA (ENSHGLG00000027148.2)
Source: RNAcentral
GCUGGUUUCCUGUCAUCCGGAGCAGCUUUCAUAAAAUCGCAAGGUAUACAGUAACAGAGUUAGGAGCUAAAAGUGCCUUUUUGUCGACCGAGCCCAGCACUCCCACGUCGGCGCAGGCCAGGACCCCGUGACCUUGUUUCCGCUGCCACUGGCCCUGAGCUGGCAGGGCAGCAGGGUCCACCCACUACGCCCUUCUCCCUUCCCAGCACUCAGAGCCCAGCCGUGACCAGCUGAUGUACGAUGGGCGUCAGGAGAGCCGGGCUAACAGACUGUUUAGCCGGCCUAUAAAAUCCAUGCUCUACUUUCUCUGCAUUACUUGGUGCUGGUGACUCCCCAGUCCCUCAAGGUGUAACCCUGCUUCUCUAGUUGGCCCACUGGACACCACUCUGGAUGCCAUUCUGCCACUUCACAUGUUUUGAAAAGGUUUAACUCACCUGGCCCCGUCAGACAAAGAAAACACUUUACAACGUGAGGCAAUAUAUGUGUCUAACAGUGGUGCAGGGGAGUUAAACAGGACGAUCCAUGCAGUGUGUUCAGUACAUCUCAUCUGUCAUAAGCCCCCAGUAAUGCUGGGUAUGACUUCUGCCAUGACUGUUCUAAUACUUCUACCACAGUUUGAGGAUCCUUAAUCCAAAAAUGUGAAAUCCAAAAAGCUCCAAAGUCUGAAACUUCCUGAGCACUGACAUGAAAACACGCGUCCAGGAUUCCCCAUCUGACUUCACGAGAUGGUUGGCAAUAAAAUGCAGGCUGGUAAAAUUGCUGUGCUGUAUGAAAUCACCUCCAGGCUGUGGGAGUAAGGUCCGGCCCUCCAGCACGGUGACCCUGUCCUCAUGUGCAGUCGUGUGCUGUUCCCUCAUUUGACUGGUUCCAUGGAGCAAAGGCGCACCAGAAGAAUGCAAGCACCUCCAUACAGGUCAACUUCAUUCUGGCAAGAAAUUCCAGCCAUAAUUCUAACAUGAAACGUAAGAAAAAUUCAGAAACCGAAACUUGAAGUUUGCUAGAUUAAAAAUACAGCAAGGUCCUUAUCAAGUUCCAGCUUGGUGAAGGCCUUCGAUUUUACUGUUUUACAAAAGGCUUCUAAACAAACCCAGUCUCAAAGCAAACAGCUUUCCCUUUGGUAUACAGGCUCGGUUUGUCUAAGUAUUAGUUUAAGGAACUGGUUGUUUUGUCUAAGAAAAGCCAUCUCCACAAAACCGACAUAUUUCUUCUUUCCGUGGCAAUGAUAU